Molecule: ribosomal RNA, 222 nt
Filed under: uncultured bacterium
Lineage: Bacteria
Description: partial 16S ribosomal RNA
Rfam family: Bacterial small subunit ribosomal RNA
Source: RNAcentral
UACGUAGGGUGCGAGCGUUAAUCGGAAUUACUGGGCGUAAAGCGUGCGCAGGCGGCUUUGCAAGACAGAUGUGAAAUCCCCGGGCUCAACCUGGGAACUGCAUUUGUGACUGCAAGGCUAGAGUACGGCAGAGGGGGAUGGAAUUCUGCGUGUAGCAGUGAAAUGCGUAGAUAUGCGGAGGAACACCAAUGGCGAAGGCAAUCCCCUGGGCCUGUACUGACG